Pelobates cultripes (western spadefoot toad) is the source of this 304-nucleotide non-coding RNA. Lineage: Eukaryota; Metazoa; Chordata; Amphibia; Anura; Pelobatidae. The record is from the annotation of a GenBank genome assembly.
GGUGACUAGUUGACAGCGUUAGGGAGGGAAGGGGUGACUAGUGACAGAGUGAGGAAGGGGUUGACUAGUGACAGAGGGAGGGGUGACUAGGGACAGAGGGAGGGAGGUGGUGACUAGUGAUUAGUGACAGUCACCACCUCCCUCACUCUGUCACUAGUCACCACCUCCCUCACUGUGUCACCCCCUCCCUCUGUCACUGGUCACCCACUCCCUCCCUCACUCUGUCACUAGUCACCCCUUCCCUCACUCUGUCACCUGUCACCCCUUCCCUCACUCUGUCACCUGUCACCCCCUCACUCUGUCA